RNAcentral lists this long non-coding RNA (1349 nucleotides) under Salmo salar (Atlantic salmon). Its description in RNAcentral is "lncRNA (ENSSSAG00000099255.1, ENSSSAG00000118647.1)". Lineage: Eukaryota; Metazoa; Chordata; Actinopteri; Salmoniformes; Salmonidae. The record is from RNAcentral.
GAACACACACACAGAUAGACAUCCCAUGUGGUUCCACUUUAAACAAACUGCAACUGAAAGCAACACUGCAGUCAGUGUAUUCUAAUCUGGAGCAGGGCAGGUGGUGUAACUGUCUAACGAGACCCAUAGCGUGUUACAUGCUAAGCUAACACAAAAACACAUUCUCUCAGUAACCUGACCAGGUAAAUGAAGACGGUGUGUUCAGUACGUGACAGGUGUGUUCAGUAAAUGACAGGUGUGUUCAGUAGACGACAGGUGUGUUCAGUAAAUGACAGGUGUGUUCAGUAAGUGACAGGUGUGUUCAGUAAGUGACAGGUGUGUUCAGUACGCGACAGGUGUGUUCAGUAAGUGACAGGUGUGUUCAGUACGUGCCAGGUGUGUUCAGUAAGUGACAGGUGUGUUCAGUACAUGACAGGUGUAUUCAGUAAGUGACAAGUGUGUUCAGUAGACACCAAGUGUGUUCAGUAAGUGACAGGUGUGUUCAGUAAGUGACAGGUGUGUUCAGUAGACACCAAACGUGUUCAGUAAGUGACAGGUGUGUUCAGUAGACACCAAACGUGUUCAGUAAGUGACAGGUGUGUUCAGUAGACACCAAACGUGUUCAGUAAGUGACAAGUGUGUUCAGUAGACACCAAGUGUGUUCAGUAAGUGACAGGUGUGUUCAGUAAGUGACAGGUGUGUUCAAUAAGUGACAGGUGUGUUCAGUACGUGACAGGUGUGUUCAGUACGUGACAGGUGUGUUCAGUAAGUGACAGGUGUGUUCAGUACGUGACAGGUGUGUUCAGUACGUGCCAGGUGUGUUCAGUACGUGACAGGUGUGUUCAGUACGUGACAGGUGUGUUCAGUACGUGACAGGUGUGUUCAGUACGUGACAGGUGUGUUCAGUAGAUGACAGGUGUGUUCAGUAAGUGACAGGUGUUUUCAGUACGUGACAGGUGUGUUCAGUACGUGCCAGGUGUGUUCAGUAAGUGCCAGGUGUGUUCAGUACGUGCCAGGUGUGUUCAGUAAGUGACAGGUGUGUUCAGUACGUGCCAGGUGUGUUCAGUAAGUGACAGGUGUGUUCAGUACGUGCCAGGUGUGUUCAGUACGUGCCAGCCACACUCGUUGCUGACAGGUGUAUAAAACCGAGCACACCGCCAUGCAAUCUCCAUAGACAAACAUUGUUAGUAGAAUGGCUCGUACUGAAGAGCUCAGUGACUUUCAACGUGGCACCAUCAAAGGAUGUCACCUUUCCAACAAGUCAGUUUGUCAAAUUCCUACCCUGCUAGAGCUGUCCCGGGUCAACUGUAAGUGCUGUUUGUGAAGUGGAAACGUCUAGGAGCAACAACGGCUCAGUCGGGAAGUGGUUG